Molecule: long non-coding RNA, 341 nt
Filed under: Sinocyclocheilus anshuiensis
Lineage: Eukaryota; Metazoa; Chordata; Actinopteri; Cypriniformes; Cyprinidae
Description: lncRNA (ENSSANG00000029907.1)
Source: RNAcentral
GUUUGAAAGAAACGCCCUCAAAAUGCACUCAGCUUUUGGAUUUGGCAGCAUUUGGGUCUGGGUAUACUGCCUUCAUCUGAAUCACUGUGGCUGUGCUGAAGAAGAAAGGGAGCUGGAUGGAUGUUAUAGAUGGAUGACGGUGAAUCAGUGGAUGCGUCACUAUGGAGGUUUGGUGAUUUGAACUGAAAACACAAGAUGCACAUUCCAUCUCACUGUCCGUUUGUCUUACUCAUGGGAUUGAAGGAUGCAUGUGAACAUGACUCACACACUGUUGGCAAUGAAGGGAACAUGAUCUUAUUAGUCAUGAUUAUAGCAACGGUUCUUACAGCACAGGCGCACCC